RNAcentral lists this ribosomal RNA (468 nucleotides) under uncultured bacterium. RNAcentral's name for it is "partial 16S ribosomal RNA". It matches the Rfam family "Bacterial small subunit ribosomal RNA", at positions 28 to 507 of the family's 1533-position model. The record is from RNAcentral.
GACGAACGCUGGCGGUGUGCUUAACACAUGCAAGUCGAACGGCAAGGCCCUGCUUUUGUGGUCUUCCCGAGUGCCGAUCGCGUGCGUAACACGUGAGUAUCCUGCUCUUCACUUUCGUAUAACUUCAGGUAACUGGGGCUACUCUCGGAUCGCAUCUCCUGUUGCAUGGAGGGCGUUGGAUCUUCUCGGCUGUCGGGGAUGGACUCGCGGCUUAUCAGCUUGUUGGUGGGGUAGUGGCUUACCAAGGGUUUGACGGAUAGCCGGCCUGAGAGGGUGACCGGGGACAAGGGGACUGAGGGACGGACCAGACGGGUACGGGAGGCAGCAGUGGGGAAUAUGGCACAAUGGGAGGAAGCCGGAGGAAGCAGCGUCGCGGGCGGGAUGACGGCCUGCGGGGUGUAAACUGCUUUAGCCUGUGACGAAGCGGGAGUGACGGUAAUGAGUAAAGAAGCACCGGCUAACUACGUG